RNAcentral lists this non-coding RNA (383 nucleotides) under Bacillus methanolicus MGA3. Lineage: Bacteria; Bacillati; Bacillota; Bacilli; Caryophanales; Bacillaceae. The record is from RNAcentral.
AACUUCAUCAAUUGCAAAAUUGAUCAUUUGAAUAAUAUCAAGGCCGAUGGAAUUAUUUGGAGAAUGGAACUCAAGAAGCGCUACACCGUCGCCAAGGUCUAUCAAGCUUGCUCCGCUGUUCUUUUUAAUGACACCUUUUUGUUUUUUUAGAAGCUUAAGGUUGAUUAUUUUUGGAUUUUCUUCUAAAAGCUUAUAUUCACCGUUAUGGUAGAAGAAAACAUUUCCGUCUUCUUCUUUAUAGAAAGAAGAAAAUCCUUUUUCUACCAUUUCUUUCACCCAGACAGGUACUUCUUUUCCAGAUGCUUCGAACUUUUUCAAUGAUGUUUCAAGGCCGAUGGCAUCCCACGUUUCAAAUGGGCCUAAUUCCCAUCCAAAUCCCCACU